GGGCCUGUAGCUCAGACGGAACAAAGAGCAUCUGCCUUCUAAGCAGAGGGUCGCAGGUUCGAAUCCUGCCAGGCUCA
RNAcentral lists this transfer RNA (77 nucleotides) under Pyrinomonadaceae bacterium. RNAcentral describes it as "tRNA-Arg". It matches the Rfam family "tRNA". From Rfam's summary of the family: Transfer RNA (tRNA) molecules are approximately 80 nucleotides in length. Their secondary structure includes four short double-helical elements and three loops (D, anti-codon, and T loops). The record is from RNAcentral. Lineage: Bacteria; Pseudomonadati; Acidobacteriota; Blastocatellia; Blastocatellales; Pyrinomonadaceae.